Molecule: non-coding RNA, 415 nt
Organism: Pantherophis guttatus
Lineage: Eukaryota; Metazoa; Chordata; Lepidosauria; Squamata; Colubridae
Source: RefSeq, a predicted model, not a curated record
AGUAGCUUGCCCUGCCAGUGUGGAGUGAGGGAGUACCUAUAGUUUAAACCUUUUCCAAGGGAGAAGAAGGAGAAGAAGAAGGGGAAGGAGAAGUUUCUGGCAAAAACCGCUCAUUCAGAAGAAUGUGUUCGGGCUUACGACUGUGGUGCUUGCUUAAUAACUGCAGAUUCACUUAACUAUCAAAAUGAUUUGCUUAACCACCUCGACAAAAAAUGUCAUAAAAUUGGAUUGGGUUAUGUGGAUCAUUCAACUUGCAACUGUAAUGACUUAUGCCUGGAAAUCCGGUCCCAAUUGCGGCCAUAAAUUGAAGACUACUUGUAUAAUGAAACUACAAUGAUAUACUCUUAGAUAUCAAGAAAAACAUCUCAGGAAAGUAGAGAUUAUUUUAAAAUUCUUUUAUUCUACAUUGAUUAAC